GACGAACGCUGGCGGCGUGCUUAACACAUGCAAGUCGAACGGAAAGGCCCUGCUUUUGUGGGGUGCUCGAGUGGCGAACGGGUGAGUAACACGUGAGUAACCUGCCCUUGACUUUGGGAUAACUUCAGGAAACUGGGGCUAAUACCGGAUAGGAGCUCCUGCUGCAUGGUGGGGGUUGGACAGUUUCGGCGGUUGGGGAUGGACUCGCGGCUUAUCAGCGUGUUGGUGGGGUAGUGGCUUACCAAGGCUUGGACGGGUAGCCGGCCUGAGAGGGUGACCGGCCACAUUGGGACUGAGAUACGGCCCAGAAGCCUACGGGAGGGAGCAGUGGGGAAUAGUGCACAAUGGGCGGAAGCCGGAUGCAGCAACGCCGCGUGCGGGAUGACGGCCUUCGGGUUGUAAACCGCUUUCGCCUGUGACGAAGCGUGAGUGACGGUAAUGGGUAAAGAAGCACCGGCUAACUACGUG
Molecule: ribosomal RNA, 468 nt
Filed under: uncultured bacterium
Lineage: Bacteria
Description: partial 16S ribosomal RNA
Rfam family: Bacterial small subunit ribosomal RNA
Source: RNAcentral